Molecule: ribosomal RNA, 238 nt
Filed under: uncultured bacterium
Lineage: Bacteria
Description: partial 16S ribosomal RNA
Rfam family: Bacterial small subunit ribosomal RNA
Source: RNAcentral
UACGAAGGGGCUAGCGUUGUUCGGAAUCACUGGGCGUAAAGCGCACGUAGGCGGACUUUCAAGUCAGGGGUGAAAUCCCGGGGCUCAACCUCGGAACUGCCUUUGAUACUGUUGGUCUUGAGUCCGGAAGAGGUGGGUGGAAUUCCUAGUGUAGAGGUGAAAUUCGUAGAUAUUCGGAAGAACACCAGUGGCGAAGGCGGCUCACUGGACCGGCAUUGACGCUGAGGUGCGAAAGCGU